RNAcentral lists this ribosomal RNA (313 nucleotides) under Salmonella enterica subsp. enterica serovar Bareilly. Its description in RNAcentral is "bacterial LSU rRNA". It matches the Rfam family "Bacterial large subunit ribosomal RNA", at positions 1 to 310 of the family's 2925-position model. Lineage: Bacteria; Pseudomonadati; Pseudomonadota; Gammaproteobacteria; Enterobacterales; Enterobacteriaceae. The record is from RNAcentral.
GGGUUGUGAGGUUAAGCGACUAAGCGUACACGGUGGAUGCCCUGGCAGUCAGAGGCGAUGAAGGACGUGCUAAUCUGCGAUAAGCGCCGGUAAGGUGAUAUGAACCGUUAUAACCGGCGAUUUCCGAAUGGGGAAACCCAGUGUGAUUCGUCACACUAUCAUUACGUGAAUACAUAGCGUAAUGAAGCGAACCGGGGGAACUGAAACAUCUAAGUACCCCGAGGAAAAGAAAUCAACCGAGAUUCCCCCAGUAGCGGCGAGCGAACGGGGAGGAGCCCAGAGCCUGAAUCAGCAUGUGUGUUAGUGGAAGCGU